Molecule: ribosomal RNA, 238 nt
Filed under: uncultured bacterium
Lineage: Bacteria
Description: partial 16S ribosomal RNA
Rfam family: Bacterial small subunit ribosomal RNA
Source: RNAcentral
GAUCCUGACUCAGGAUGAACGCUAGCUACAGGCUUAACACAUGCAAGUCGAGGGGCAGCAUCAUCAAAGCUUGCUUUGAUGGAUGGCGACCGGCGCACGGGUGAGUAACACGUAUCCAACCUGCCGACAACACUGGGAUAGCCUUUCGAAAGAAAGAUUAAUACCGGAUGGUAUAGUUUUCCCGCAUGGGAUGAUUAUUAAAGAAUUCCGGUUGUCGAUGGGGAUGCGUUCCAUUAGG